GUGGAAAUCCACCCUAACAGCAACACCCUAAAAUUUAGUCUGUGUCGGCGAAAAAUUGGCGAAUCAUAUAUAACGAUGGCAAAGACCACACUAAUUAUUUUCGUUUUGGUGAUUUGUAUCUGUGUAAUCCAGGCAAAGGUGGCAAAAGAUUCACGUUACGUCAUAGGCGAUGUGAAAAAGCUGGAUACAUCCAGCGACCACGACAAAGGAGCAUCAUUUGGAGACAUGAAAGACGGCAAACUAACGAAGCUACUUCGUAAAAUUCUAUGCAAACGUCAGGGUGGUAGAAGACCGGAUUGUGCAGGGAAAUGAUGACCAGCUGGAUCCGAUGAAGAUGAACUGAGCAAUUUAGUAUAUAACCGCUAUACAAGACACA
Long non-coding RNA from Dendronephthya gigantea, 376 nucleotides. RefSeq lists it as uncharacterized. The record is from RefSeq and is a predicted model, not a curated record. Lineage: Eukaryota; Metazoa; Cnidaria; Anthozoa; Malacalcyonacea; Nephtheidae. The transcript has 3 exons.